RNAcentral lists this long non-coding RNA (607 nucleotides) under Prunus persica (peach). Its description in RNAcentral is "long non-coding RNA (PPER_LNC005491)". The record is from RNAcentral. Lineage: Eukaryota; Viridiplantae; Streptophyta; Magnoliopsida; Rosales; Rosaceae.
UUCAAUUAGAAAAAUGGCAAAACACCAUUGAAUUAUAAGCACCAUUGCCGCAAACAUAUGACAAGGCAAAGCAUUCAGAAUUUACUCAAACAAAUAAGGUAAAGAAAAACAUACCAAUCACUGCUGCUGCUGAUUUUGUUGCUGGUUCUGAGGGUUGGGUGGAGGUGGCAUUCCAGGACGAGGGGGUCCAAACACAGGAACUUGACCACCAGGUGGAGGAGGCAUCCCAGGACGAUGCGGUGGUGGACCAGGCAUGCCGGGUCGAGGCGGAGGAGGUGGGCCCCUCAUCAUCUGCCCAGGCGGCGGAGGACCCAUCGGCCUCUGCCCAAACUGCAUCUGAGGUGGGCCCUGGAAUUGCAGAGGUGGGCCACCAGGCCUCGGAAACUGUGGAGGCGGCACACCAGGCGGUGGACCCCGCGCCAUCUGCGGUGGGCCCUGACCGGGAUAUCCAGGCAUCUGCCCAGGCGGACGAAUCACCGGAGCAGCCGGGUACGACAUAGGCGGCGCAGAGAGGUUCGGAACAGGAGGGCGUGAAAUCUGCGGCUGCAUCAUGCCGGGGGCGGGCCCACCCACGCCUCGAACCGGGCCGGAGAGACCGGGCUGUGCC